This 988-nucleotide unclassified non-coding RNA is filed under the name Bactrocera tryoni. Its description in RNAcentral is "putative nuclease HARBI1, transcript variant X1". The record is from RNAcentral. Lineage: Eukaryota; Metazoa; Arthropoda; Insecta; Diptera; Tephritidae.
UAUUUUGGGUAAAAUGAAGCGCUUUUAAAGCUGAAGCAUACUUAACAUAUUUAAAAUUAUGUUUAUGCAUGCAGUUAUUGGAGUAUUGAUGGCACGCACUGUGGGCUGCAAAAACCAACAGUAAAUGAGCACAUGUUCUUCAACAGGAAAGGAUACCAUAGCCUCAACUCAAUGACAAUAUGUGACCAUGAAUACCGCAUUUUGGCCAUUGACUCAAAGUAUGGUCUAGCCGCACACGAUUCCUUUGUGUGGAAGCAUUCGGCACAACGAAAGUUUUUGGAGGAGCAAUUUAACCAAAAUAACUUCAAAAAUGUUUGGCUUUUAGGAGAUUCGGGUUAUCCCUUGGAGCCGUGGUGUUUAACACCAUUCAGGAACCAUGAAGAAGGGUCUACUCAAGCUCGGUUUAAUGAGGCUCAUUCUAAAGCUGUGUGGUUGAAAGAACCAUUGGUAUCCUAAAGGGCCGUUGGAAAAUUCUCAGCAAUGACAAGAGAAGCCGUUACCAACCUGAAAAAAUGGCACAAUUCGGGAAUGUAUGUGCAGCGUUGCAUAAAAUAUGCAUACAUUUCAAAGAUGCGUCGUAUUGCAGAGAUUAUGCACGUGAAGCUAUUAACACAGAAGUGGAUAUGGGAAACGAAACUCAUUUAACCAAAAUUGGACACAAAAUUCGAAACCAUAUAAUAUUGGCGCUAGAAAAUACAAUUUGAAUAAAACAAGUGCUUCUAAUUGUAUUCGGCUAAUUUGCAGCUCUAUUGCUUUGACUUCCAUAUAAGCUUUGUGAGCUUCCUCUUUCAUUUCCAUCGACCUCUCCUUCAAAGCUACAUAUAAGCUUGUCUAGUUUUGCGCCUAUACUCUGCUGGUAGCUUUCAAACGCGAUCAUGUUUUCUUUAAUGAGGGCCAGCUUUUCAUCGGCAGCAUCCUGUUUGCUCCUCUUCGUAGCGCUGCGACUAGUAGAGGGUUUCGGUGGAACGUCGUCUUCGUCACUGUAUAA